This 497-nucleotide ribosomal RNA is filed under the name uncultured bacterium. RNAcentral describes it as "partial 16S ribosomal RNA". It matches the Rfam family "Bacterial small subunit ribosomal RNA", at positions 28 to 507 of the family's 1533-position model. The record is from RNAcentral.
GAUGCACGCUGGCGGCGUGCCUAAUACAUGCAAGUCGAGCGAACAGAUGAGGAGCUUGCUCCUCUGACGUUAGCGGCGGACGGGUGAGUAACACGUGGAUAACCUACCUAUAAGACUGGGAUAACUUCGGGAAACCGGAGCUAAUACCGGAUAAUAUAUUGAACCGCAUGGUUCAAUAGUGAAAGACGGUUUUGCUGUCACUUAUAGAUGGAUCCGCGCCGCAUUAGCUAGUUGGUAAGGUAACGGCUUACCAAGGCAACGAUGCGUAGCCGACCUGAGAGGGUGAUCGGCCACACUGGAACUGAGACACGGUCCAGGCUCCUACGGGAGGCAGCAGUAGGGAAUCUUCCGCAAUGGGCGAAAGCCUGACGGAGCAACGCCGCGUGAGUGAUGAAGGUCUUCGGAUCGUAAAACUCUGUUAUUAGGGAAGACCAAAUGUGUAAGUAACUAUGCACGUCUUGACGGUACCGAAUCAGAAAGCCACGGCUAACUACGUG